RNAcentral lists this ribosomal RNA (253 nucleotides) under uncultured bacterium. Its description in RNAcentral is "partial 16S ribosomal RNA". It matches the Rfam family "Bacterial small subunit ribosomal RNA", at positions 524 to 776 of the family's 1533-position model. The record is from RNAcentral.
UACGUAGGAUCCGAGCGUUGUCCGGAGUUACUGGGUGUAAAGGGUGCGUAGGCUGUUCUGUGCGUCAGAGGUGAAAUCCACGGGCUUAACUCGUGGGGUGCCUUUGAUACGGCAGGGCUUGAGUACGAGAGAGGUGCGUGGAAUUCCUGGUGUAGCAGUGAAAUGCGUAGAUAUCAGGAGGAACACCGGUGGCGAAGGCGGCGCACUGGCUCGUAACUGACGCUGAGGCACGAAAGCGUGGGGAUCAAACAGG